This 555-nucleotide long non-coding RNA is filed under the name Helianthus annuus (common sunflower). RNAcentral describes it as "hypothetical non coding rna". The record is from RNAcentral. Lineage: Eukaryota; Viridiplantae; Streptophyta; Magnoliopsida; Asterales; Asteraceae.
AUGUGUGACGGUAGGAACCAUCGUGUCAUCUAUUGCAUGAAAGCUCUGUUGUUUUUUCGUUUCUUCAUCAAGUUAUAAUGUUCCCUUUUCAUCUCUUUUGCAAACUAGCUAUUGGGAAAUCAACUGACCAAUUCUGUAAAAAGUUGUUAUGCGGGUGCCUUUUGACCUUUAGGUUAAUUAGUUGACAGGGAAACUUUAGUAUUUACAUUUUUUAAAAUCUAUAUGGUAAUCUUCCCACAAAAUAAAUAGCAAAAACUAUAAACAGUUAGCUAUGUUUAUAGGAGAAUAGUGGUGGAUAGUUGGCACGCUUGAUUUGAUUUUGAUUAUUGUUUUUUAAUAUUGAACUGAGCAUCUUGGUAGAAAAAUAUACUCUUGAAAGUAUGUAUAUUUGUAUUUUUAUCUAUAAAAUCAUGUCAGGUGGAUAUUUUUUUUUCUGGUCGGUUCUGAAAAACGGUUUUGUGAUUAUUGAUUUCGUUUCUGGAUUGCCGGAGAUUUAAGAACUGUUUUUCGUUUCGGUCCUAAUACACAAAAACAGCGCAGUCCUAGUUUGAUCUA